Molecule: ribosomal RNA, 497 nt
Filed under: uncultured bacterium
Lineage: Bacteria
Description: partial 16S ribosomal RNA
Rfam family: Bacterial small subunit ribosomal RNA
Source: RNAcentral
GACGAACGCUGGCGGCGUGCCUAAUACAUGCAAGUUGAGCGCUGAAGGUUGGUACUUGUACCAACUGGAUGAGCAGCGAACGGGUGAGUAACGCGUGGGGAAUCUGCCUUUGAGCGGGGGACAACAUUUGGAAACGAAUGCUAAUACCGCAUAAAAACUUUAAACACAAGUUUUAAGUUUGAAAGAUGCAAUUGCAUCACUCAAAGAUGAUCCCGCGUUGGAUUAGCUAGUUGGUGAGGUAAAGGCUCACCAAGGCGAUGAUACAUAGCCGACCUGAGAGGGUGAUCGGCCACUUUGGGACUGAGACACGGCCCAAACUCCCACGGGGAGCAGCAGUAGGGAAUCUUCGGCGAUGGACGAAAGUCUGACCGGGCAACGCCGCGUGAGUGAAGAAGGUUCUCGGAUCGUAAAACUCUGUUGGUAGAGGAGGACGUUGGUGGGAGUGGAAAGCUCAUCAAGUGACGGUAACUACCCAGAAAGGGAGGGCUAACUACGUG